This 450-nucleotide ribosomal RNA is filed under the name uncultured bacterium. RNAcentral describes it as "partial 16S ribosomal RNA". It matches the Rfam family "Bacterial small subunit ribosomal RNA", at positions 354 to 796 of the family's 1533-position model. The record is from RNAcentral.
GUGGGGAAUCUUCCGCAAUGGACGAAAGUCUGACGGAGCAAUGCCGCGUGAACGAUGACGGCCUUCGGGUUGUAAAGUUCUGUUAUACGGGACGAAUGGUACGACGGCCAAUACCCGUCGUAAGUGACGGUACCGUAAGAGAAAGCCACGGCUAACUACGUGCCAGCAGCCGCGGUAAUACGUAGGUGGCAAGCGUUGUCCGGAAUUAUUGGGCGUAACGGGCGCGCAGGCGGCGUCGUAAGUCGGUCUUAAAAGUGCGGGGCUUAACCCCGGGGGGGGACCGAAACUGCGAUGCUAGAGUAUCGGAGAGGAAAGCGGAAUUCCUAGUGUAGCGGUGAAAUGCGUAGAUAUUAGGAGGAACACCAGUGGCGAAAGCGGCUUUCUGGACGACAACUGACGCUGAGGCGCGAAAGCCAGGGGAGCAAACGGGAUUAGAAACCCCUGUAGUCC